AGAGUUUGAUCAUGGCUCAGGACGAACGCUGGCGGCGUGCUUAACACAUGCAAGUCGAGCGAGGCCCUCCUUCGGGAGGUGUCCUAGCGGCGAACGGGUGAGUAACACGUGGGCAACCUGCCCCUAGCACUGGGAUAACCCCGGGAAACCGGGGCUAAUACCGGAUACGACCAACGAGGGCAUCCCCGUUGGUGGAAAGGGUUACCGGCUAGGGAUGGGCCCGCGGCCUAUCAGCUUGUUGGUGGGGUGACGGCCUACCAAGGCGACGACGGGUAGCCGGCCUGAGAGGGCGACCGGCCACACUGGGACUGAGACACGGCCCAGACUCCUACGGGAGGCAGCAGUGGGGAAUAUUGCGCAAUGGGCGAAAGCCUGACGCAGCGACGCCGCGUGAGGGACGAAGGCCUUCGGGUUGUAAACCUCUUUCAGCAGGGACGAAGCGAAAGUGACGGUACCUGCAGAAGAAGCACCGGCCAACUACGUGCCAGCAGCGGCGGUAAUAC
RNAcentral lists this ribosomal RNA (503 nucleotides) under uncultured bacterium. RNAcentral's name for it is "bacterial SSU rRNA". It matches the Rfam family "Bacterial small subunit ribosomal RNA", at positions 8 to 526 of the family's 1533-position model. The record is from RNAcentral.